RNAcentral lists this ribosomal RNA (143 nucleotides) under Pimelea longiflora subsp. eyrei. RNAcentral describes it as "partial 5.8S ribosomal RNA". It matches the Rfam family "5.8S ribosomal RNA", at positions 28 to 154 of the family's 154-position model. Rfam says of the family: 5.8S ribosomal RNA (5.8S rRNA) is a component of the large subunit of the eukaryotic ribosome. It is transcribed by RNA polymerase I as part of the 45S precursor that also contains 18S and 28S rRNA. The record is from RNAcentral. Lineage: Eukaryota; Viridiplantae; Streptophyta; Magnoliopsida; Malvales; Thymelaeaceae.
UUUGCAUCGAUGAAGAACGCAGCGAAAUGCGAUACUUGGUGUGAAUUGCAGAAUCCCGUGAACCAUCGAGUCUUUGAACGCAAGUUGCGCCCCAAGCCUUAGGGCCGAGGGCACGUCUGCCUGGGUGUCACGCAUCGUAGCCC